GUGAAGAAAAUUUAUCGCAGAUUCCAUUUCUUUAAAAAAAACAUUACCUUACGGGACUUUUAAGAAAGAAAACAUGAAAAAACUUGAGUUUUCGACGCGUCGAAACCGGAUGCCAGUCAUUACGUUGGACUGCUGGUGACAGCUGAUUGAACUUCGAGCAAAUUCGGGAAUCGCGGGAAUUUCAUCAAAUUUAUUUUUGAGACUGACUCGCGUGCUUUCAUUCGUCCAGUAGCUUCGUUUUUUCUCCAUAAAUUGACCAUUUUUCUCGGUGCCGUAACACCGAUAUAAACUUUCUUUCGCACAAUAAAUAUGUUCAAAAAACUAGUCAAGUUUGAGUAUAAAUUUUAUCUUUUAUGAUAUUUUUAAAGCAUUUUAUUACAUUUUUAUGAUAAAAAUAUUCUCAAUGUAGGUAUUUAUUAAUUUGAUUAAUAAUUUAGACUUGAAAUUAAUCAACACGAAGUGGUUGCAAACUUGACUAGUCAUAGAACGGCCGAACUACUUUAACUGCGAACUUUGAGCAUUGAAUGGAUCUUACGAAGCUGAAAACAUGAUCGUCACAUAUUUUUCUAUCACUUAUGAAAGUUUCUGCGAGAACUGCUUCUCAAUGCCUGCGAAUUUCAUAUACGAAGACGGGAAAACCACUGAAACUCGUAAGAGACCGUUUGAAUUUUUUUUCCACGAUCAAAGUAUCCUCGGGCUUUGAAAUUUUGACAGGACAUUUUUUAUAAUUCAUUUCUGUAUGGAAAUUUUUAAACCGAAAUUUAUUUGUUGAUUCGAUUACCAGGUGAGCUUUCUUCUGACCGCCUUGUCAACUUUUGGCCGCCGGGAAAGCAAUUGGGGAAAUAAAAUGGCUCGAAAAGCUCAAUUCCUCAUAAUUUCGGAGCUGCAGCGAAGCGCCCGCAAGCUUUUCAUUUGAGCUGGGCGUUGACUCGCUACCGCAUCUCUUGACAUCGUGGCUCAGUGACGUUUGGAUAUUCCAUUGCUCACUGUUAAAAAAAUCAUUGCUUCGUCCAUGGGAAUACGGAAUUCACCAAUCUCCAAUGAUUGGGCUCCACCGCCGAGGCGUGGCUAAGCGGAAAACGAGUGCAGUGAUCAGCGCCGUUGGCACUAAAAUUCCAGUUGAAAAUAAAACAACAAAUAUUUCAUCGCGAUGAGUGCAGAAAAUAGUACGUGGCCACAUUUCGCGGUGCGAUGUAGAGAAAAUAUUUGUUCGAGGUACCCGCAAAAAGUCGGCUGUUCCAAUAGCAAUUGAUGUUGGGCAACCCCGUUGCCCAGCCGCACCGUUUCAGUGUUUUCAUGUGAGCGAACCGGAUCCGGACACCUUCUCCUGGAGGCGAGCGCCAUUCGCGUUGUCCCUCUCCAGCCCGCGAGGAUUCCACGUGCUUCUCAGAACAAAGGGAGCUCGAGGGAGACGAAGAGAGCGAGAUAAUGUUAAUGGCGUUGAUGUCGCAGUACGAAACAUUCGAGUCGCGCCGACCGGGGGGUUCAACUUGGCGCGAACAUCGCGAGGAGAUCGGUUCACGCUUUUCGAACAUUUAUCUCCAACAUUCCGACUCGAAAUCAGAAGACACACGAGAUUUUAAACGACUAGGAAGUCAAGAAAGUCGGGAUACUCCUCGACUGGAGUUCACGCUGAUGAAAAAUGCAGUUUAGACUUCUGAGAAAGUCAAGCACACGUAAACGUUUUCAAAUCGAUGACACUCUGAUGAAAAUGCUUGCAGUCGACACUAAAAAUACCGCAAACGAUUAGCCACUUUGCCACAAACCGUCCAUCAGACUGGAGCAGAAAAUGCGAGGAUCGAAGCCCGCCAAAAUAUCUAAAGAAAGACUUGAGGAAGCCUCCGGGGAACUGCUUUUAUUGGCCCAUGAAAAAGAUCGAGAGUUUAUUACGAAAGUAAUGUCUCGAAAUAUCGAUCGGCGUCAACCUUCUUCGGGUGGGAUAUGUUCCAAAAUAGCAUCCGGAUCGCACUUGCAGAUGAAAUUCAACGUGAUUUUCCAAAGGGGAUUGAGAAAAAAUGUUGUCGUGUGGCAACUUGCCGAAACGUCGGCAGUGUAGUUACGUGACGUUUCGUAAUUAUUCAAUUCGUGGAGUUUUCAACAGCUCCCGAGCAUUCUCAUGCCUUCGUCCGUUAUUUUCUGCAUUGAGAUAAUAUUCCUUGACGAUUGUGGCGCCACUAGCGCGAGGAAGAUGCUCGGGAAUGUCCGAGGUGAAUUCAUCCAACCGAAAUGAAUGACGUUUGGCUCAUUUUCGCAUUCCCUCCUGCCGGGGGCUGAAACACUUUCAUUUCGAUCGAUCAGUGUUGGGAAUUUCUCGUUUUCGAUACUCGGAGGGAAAUGUCCCGAGGUAGAACGGUCAGGAAACUCCCAUUCAAGAGUAAACCGACUUUCAGAUUUGUCAAUGUACCGUAAUUGUAAAAAACUAGAUGAUAUUACUCGAAAUUCAAAAUAAUUUAGGGAAAAACAUGAAUUUUUGAGAGACUCUGCAUCUUUCAACAUUUUUUUUUAGCAUCGUUCAAAUGUAAUUACGAACUUUUCACUUGGAACAAUUACGUAACUCCGAAAGUUUGUGGUAAAACGUUAUCAUUUUUGGGCACCCGUGCAACGCCGACCCAUCGUUCCACCGCUUUCAUAUUAAUUUUGCCAACAUUUCUUUGACGUUGAAAGGAAUGUGACAAAAUGAAGGGUUUGCCUGACAGGACGUGGGUGAAAAAUAGUUAUUUCAAAAACAAAUAUCACGACUUUUUUUGAUAUCCUGGAACGUUUGUCCUGACCGGAAGCCAAUGCGCGUUAAUA
Long non-coding RNA from Venturia canescens, 2793 nucleotides. RefSeq lists it as uncharacterized. The record is from RefSeq and is a predicted model, not a curated record. Lineage: Eukaryota; Metazoa; Arthropoda; Insecta; Hymenoptera; Ichneumonidae. The transcript is spliced from 3 exons.